This 937-nucleotide ribosomal RNA is filed under the name uncultured Halococcus sp. RNAcentral describes it as "bacterial SSU rRNA". It matches the Rfam family "Archaeal small subunit ribosomal RNA", at positions 154 to 1086 of the family's 1478-position model. The record is from RNAcentral. Lineage: Archaea; Methanobacteriati; Methanobacteriota; Halobacteria; Halobacteriales; Halococcaceae.
GGAUACCGCUUUCACGUUGGAAAAACGGAAAGCUGGAAACGGUCCGCCGCCGGAGGACGUGACUGCGGCCGAUUAGGUAGACGGUGGGGUAACGGCCCACCGUGCCAAUAAUCGGUACGGGUUGUGAGAGCAAGAGCCCGGAGACGGAAUCUGAGACAAGAUUCCGGGCCCUACGGGGCGCAGCAGCCGCGAAACCUUUACACUGCACGACAGUGCGAUAAGGGGAUCCCGAGUGCGAGGGCAUACAGUCCUCGCUUUUCGUGACCGUAAGGUGGUCACAGAAUAAGGGCUGGGCAAGACCGGUGCCAGCCGCCGCGGUAAUACCGGCAGCCCGAGUGAUAGCCAAUUUUAUUGGGCCUAAAGCGUCCGUAGCCGGCCGAACGGGUCCGUCGGGAAAUCCACCCGCUUAACGGGUGGGCGUCCGGCGGAAACCAGUCGGCUUGGGGCCGGGAGACCAGAGGGGUACGUCCGGGGUAGGAGUGAAAUCCUGUAAUCCUGGACGGACCACCGGUUGCGAAAGCGCCUCUGGAGAACGGACCCGACGGUGAGGGACGAAAGCUAGGGUCUCGAACCGGAUUAGAUACCCGGGUAGUCCUAGCCGUAAACGAUGCUCGCUAGGUGUGACGCAGGCUACGAGCCUGCGUUGCGCCGUAGGGAAGCCGAGAAGCGAGCCGCCUGGGAAGUACGUCCGCAAGGAUGAAACUUAAAGGAAUUGGCGGGGGAGCACUACAACCGGAGGAGCCUGCGGUUUAAUUGGACUCAACGCCGGACAUCUCACCGGCACCGACAACGUGCAGUGACGGUCAGUUUGAUGAGCUUACCUGAGCCGUUGAGAGGAGGUGCAUGGCCGCCGUCAGCUCGUACCGUGAGGCGUCCUGUUAAGUCAGGCAACGAGCGAGACCCGCGUCCAUAAUUGCCAGCAGCACCCUUGUGGUGG